Molecule: ribosomal RNA, 271 nt
Filed under: uncultured bacterium
Lineage: Bacteria
Description: partial 16S ribosomal RNA
Rfam family: Bacterial small subunit ribosomal RNA
Source: RNAcentral
GUGCCACCGCCGCGGUAAUACGGGGGGUGCGAGCGUUGUUCGGAAUUAUUGGGCGUAAAGAGCGUGUAGGCGGCUGAAUAAGUCAGAUGUGAAAUCCCUGGGCUUAACCCAGGACGUGCAUUUGAAACUAUUCGGCUAGAGUAGGGGAGAGGAAAGUGGAAUUCCUGGUGUAGAGGUGAAAUCCGUAGAUAUCGGGAGGAACACCAGUGGCGAAGGCGGCCACCUGGACUGUAACUGACGCUGAGAUGCGAAAGUGCGGGUAGCAAACAGG